GAUCAUGGCUCAGGAUGAACGCUAGCGGCAGGCCUAACACAUGCAAGUCGAGGGGUAGAACACUUCGGUGUUUGAGACCGGCGCACGGGUGCGUAACGCGUAUGCAAUCUACCUUGUACAGGGGAAUAGCCCAGAGAAAUUUGGAUUAAUGCCCCAUAGUGUUAUCGAAUCGCAUGGUUUGAUAACUAAAGUUCCAACGGUAUAAGAUGAGCAUGCGUCCCAUUAGUUAGUUGGUAAGGUAACGGCUUACCAAGACAAUGAUGGGUAGGGGUCCUGAGAGGGAGAUCCCCCACACUGGUACUGAGACACGGACCAGACUCCUACGGGAGGCAGCAGUGAGGAAUAUUGGUCAAUGGGCGCAAGCCUGAACCAGCCAUGCCGCGUGCAGGAAGAAGCAUCUAUGGUGUGUAAACUGCUUUUAUACAGGAAGAAACAACUCUACGUGUAGAGUCUUGACGGUACUGUAAGAAUAAGGACCGGCUAACUCCGUG
Molecule: ribosomal RNA, 491 nt
Filed under: uncultured bacterium
Lineage: Bacteria
Description: bacterial SSU rRNA
Rfam family: Bacterial small subunit ribosomal RNA
Source: RNAcentral